GACGAACGCUGGCGGCGUGCUUAACACAUGCAAGUCGAGCGGUAAGGCCCUUUCGGGGGUACACGAGCGGCGAACGGGUGAGUAACACGUGGGUGACCUGCCCUCAGCUCUGGGAUAAGCCUGGGAAACCGGGUCUAAUACCGGAUAUGACUCCAUGACGCAUGUUGUGGGGUGGAAAGCCUUGUGCGGCUGAGGAUGGGCCCGCGGCCUAUCAGCUUGUUGGUGGGGUGAUGGCCUACCAAGGCGACGACGGGUAGCCGGCCUGAGAGGGCGACCGGCCACACUGGGACUGAGACACGGCCCAGACUCCUACGGGAGGGCAGCAGUGGGGAAUCUUGCGCAAUGGGCGAAAGCCUGACGCAGCGACGCCG
This 371-nucleotide ribosomal RNA is filed under the name uncultured bacterium. Its description in RNAcentral is "bacterial SSU rRNA". It matches the Rfam family "Bacterial small subunit ribosomal RNA", at positions 28 to 399 of the family's 1533-position model. The record is from RNAcentral.